This 66-nucleotide transfer RNA is filed under the name Cirroteuthis muelleri. Its description in RNAcentral is "tRNA-Asp". Lineage: Eukaryota; Metazoa; Mollusca; Cephalopoda; Octopoda; Cirroteuthidae. The record is from RNAcentral.
GAAAAAUUAGUUAAAUUUUUAACAUAAAAUUGUCAAUUUUAAAUUACUAUAUCAUAGUAUUUUUCU